GUCGCUUCUUGGCCUUUUGGCUGAGAUCGAGUGUAGUGUCUGUUCUUAUCAGUUUAAUAUCUGAUAAUAAAACUAAAACAAGAAUGAACUGAAUCAUAAUGGCAACACUAAUU
Small nuclear RNA from Oryctolagus cuniculus (rabbit), 113 nucleotides. Its record names the gene U2. It matches the Rfam family "U2 spliceosomal RNA". From Rfam's summary of the family: U2 is a small nuclear RNA (snRNA) component of the spliceosome (involved in pre-mRNA splicing). The record is from Ensembl. NCBI's taxonomy places the organism in Eukaryota, Metazoa, Chordata, Mammalia, Lagomorpha, Leporidae.